This 610-nucleotide ribosomal RNA is filed under the name uncultured bacterium. Its description in RNAcentral is "bacterial SSU rRNA". The stretch from base 1 to 542 matches the Rfam family "Bacterial small subunit ribosomal RNA", at positions 338 to 873 of the family's 1533-position model. The record is from RNAcentral.
CCUACGGGAGGCAGCAGUAGGGAAUCUUCCGCAAUGGACGAAAGUCUGACGGAGCAACGCCGCGUGAACGAUGAAGGCCUUCGGGUCGUAAAGUUCUGUUGUUAGGGAAGAACAAGUGCUAGUUGAAUAAGCUGGCACCUUGACGGUACCUAACCAGAAAGCCACGGCUAACUACGUGCCAGCAGCCGCGGUAAUACGUAGGUGGCAAGCGUUGUCCGGAAUUAUUGGGCGUAAAGCGCGCGCAGGCGGUUUCUUAAGUCUGAUGUGAAAGCCCCCGGCUCAACCGGGGAGGGUCAUUGGAAACUGGGAAACUUGAGUGCAGAAGAGGAAAGUGGAAUUCCAAGUGUAGCGGUGAAAUGCGUAGAGAUUUGGAGGAACACCAGUGGCGAAGGCGACUUUCUGGUCUGUAACUGACGCUGAGGCGCGAAAGCGUGGGGAGCAAACAGGAUUAGAUACCCUGGUAGUCCACGCUGUAAACGAUGAGUGCUAAGUGUUAGAGGGUUUCCGCCUUUAGUGCUGAAGUUACGCAUUAAGCNCUCGCGUGGNGAGUCGCGAGAGNGAAGUAGAAGAGUUAGUAGNGUUGAGNGNGCGAGACGACGACGAGGAGAGG